UAUCUGCUCCUUCUAUCAUUGGGGUGGUGGUAUCCAUCGAUAAGAAAGGCUCGACGAAGUGAGAAGACGUCGGAUGAAAGGAGAAGGCAGCGGCCCAGAGACGAGGUUCUGUAGGGACGUAGCGAGUUGAUCUUAAUAAAAAAUAUUAUUUCAGAAUCGGGGAAGCGCCCAACGGGAUAGGAGCUGAAGGCUGACACGGUGUUGAUCCAAUAGGGCUUCUUUUUGUUUUAUGCUUUUAAGA
Molecule: unclassified non-coding RNA, 241 nt
Filed under: Hevea brasiliensis (rubber tree)
Lineage: Eukaryota; Viridiplantae; Streptophyta; Magnoliopsida; Malpighiales; Euphorbiaceae
Source: RNAcentral